This is an RNA transcript of Syzygium oleosum, 1385 nucleotides long. It is a transcript of the gene named chromatin remodeling protein EBS, with no coding region annotated. NCBI's taxonomy places the organism in Eukaryota, Viridiplantae, Streptophyta, Magnoliopsida, Myrtales, Myrtaceae. The record is from RefSeq and is a predicted model, not a curated record. The transcript is spliced from 6 exons.
AAACUAAAAUCGCCAGACUGACUUUGUGCAGUGACUCGGUUGAUGAGUCUCUCUCUCUCUUCUCUCUCUUCUCCGAUGUCCAUGAAUACCACCACCACCACCACCGUGCACCAGCGCUGCUCUCCUCCCCUUCUUCCUCCUCCCGAAAUCUAGGGUUCCCUCGAUCGCCGCCGACCUCCCCUCCCUCGCAUUCCCCUCCUCCAAUCCUCCUCCGCCGCCCGCCGCCGCCCGCCGCCUCCGCCCUUCGAAUCCCUCGGCGGAGCGCGCCGGCGAGGACCCAUUUGAGCCCUACCCCAGCUCCCAUGGCGAAGACCCGACCCGGCCUCAUGGCCAAGCCGAAGCCGGCGAAGAAGGACCUUGACUCCUACACCAUCAGAGGCACCAACAAAGUGGUCCGCGCUGGGGAUUGCGUGCUGAUGCGCCCGUCCGACACCGGCAAGCCCCCGUACGUGGCCCGAAUCGAGAAGAUCGAGUCCGAUGCCCGGAACAACGUGAAGGUGAGGGUGCGGUGGUAUUACAGGCCGGAGGAGUCGAUUGGUGGGAGGAGACAGUUUCACGGGGCUAAAGAAUUGUUCUUGUCUGAUCACUAUGAUGUGCAAAGCGCGCACACUAUCGAGGGCAAAUGCAUCGUGCAUUCGUUCAAGAACUAUACGAAGCUUGAGAAUGUUGGAGCCGAGGAUUACUACUGUAGAUUUGAGUAUAAGGCAGCUACUGGGGCGUUUAUACCUGACCGUGUUGCUGUGUACUGCAAGUGUGAGAUGCCGUAUAACCCGGAUGACCUCAUGGUGCAGUGUGAAGGAUGCAAGGACUGGUACCAUCCAGCGUGCGUGGGUAUGACUAUUGAAGAAGCCAAAAAGCUUGAGCACUUUGUCUGCUCCGAGUGUUCUGAUGAUGAGGUCAAACGAGCAGAAAAUGGAUUUUCUUCAUCGCCAGCAGCUGAAGUAAAGAACAUGGAUUCUCCUCGGUAAAGAAGCAGGUGUACUUAAUGUAAACUGACUACAAGGAUGGAUAUCUUGGAAAGAUUCAGGAAAUGGUUGACUCCAAGCGGCGGAAGAGAUGAAGGUGAGAUGUCACCUGGACAUGGCAGUUGCUGCUGGAUGACAAGCCAUCACUGUUAUUAUUUGCAGAAUUAGUACCUAGCCGUUGUAUGAUGUGUACAGUGCUGCGUACCAUGGUCUGACGGGAUGAUGUUAGUGAUUUGCGUGCGUGUCAUAGUAUAGAUGUAUCUGCGCUAGUUUUAGGAGUCGUGAUGUAAUCCGUAGUGUGUCCAGGGAGAAAAAUUGGUUUUUGGAGUUGCUCUACUUCGUUUGGAGUCGAACCGUGUGGAGUGGUAAAAACUCUGAAUACCCGGUUUUCCUUCUAAAUGUUUAUUAAGCUUAUGUGAA